Molecule: ribosomal RNA, 317 nt
Filed under: uncultured Paludibacter sp.
Lineage: Bacteria; Pseudomonadati; Bacteroidota; Bacteroidia; Bacteroidales; Paludibacteraceae
Description: partial 16S ribosomal RNA
Source: RNAcentral
GGAGUUUGGACCGUGUCUCAGUUCCAAUGUGGGGGACCUUCCUCUCAGAACCCCUACUGAUCGUCGGCUUGGUGAGCCGUUACCUCACCAACUACCUAAUCAGAAGCGUGCUCACCCAUAGUCCUUACGUUUCAUCACAAAGUCAUGCGGCUUCGUGACACAUGGAGCUUUAAUCCAACUUUCGCUGGGCUAUUCCCCGACUAUGGACAGAUUGCACACCUGUUACGCACCCGUGCGCCGGUCGCCACCAAAGAAAGCAAGCUUCCUUCGUGCUGCCCCUCGACUUGCAUGUGUUAGGCCUGUCGCUAGCGUUCAUC